This is a long non-coding RNA of Pipra filicauda (Wire-tailed manakin), 11893 nucleotides long. RefSeq lists it as uncharacterized. The record is from RefSeq and is a predicted model, not a curated record. Lineage: Eukaryota; Metazoa; Chordata; Aves; Passeriformes; Pipridae. The transcript has 3 exons.
CGACCCUCAGACUAAAAUGUUUCUUCCUUAUCUUUCUUAUAAGAUAAAUAUAUAAGGCCUCUCAGAGCCUUUUCUUUUCCAGGCUGAGCAACCCCAGCUCUCUCAGCCUUUCCUUAUAGGAGAAGUGCUCCAGCCCCUGGAACAUCUUCAUGGCUUCAUCUGGACCUGCUCCACCAGGCCUGUAACUAGCCUGUAAAAGCGUAUAUUUGUCGUUUUUCCAUGUCUUGCGUGUUUAAAUGAAUGUUCUGUUACCCACACACUAGUCAGUCAGUACCAAGAGAGGAAACAAUCUGGCAAACUCAAAACAACACUUGUGACAAUGGUCCCUGCUCCUCCUUCUGAAAUACAGCCAGUGCACGUGAUGUUGAAAAAAUGUGUGUUCAGGCCUUAAGUGACAUGAGCUGAGGAAAACCAGAUAAACCAAAUUGACGCAUAAAGGGACAAUUUUGGUUUUUCCCCCCGGAUUUCCCUCACAAGGCACGGCUCGGGGGCUCAGGAUGUGUGGUUCCAUGGUGUAAUGGUUAGCACUCUGGACUCUGAAUCCAGCGAUCCGAGUUCAAAUCUCGGUGGAACCUGAAGCUUUUUUGCAGUUGUCAAAUUUCUCUGCUGGAAAAUCGUGGAAAAGUUGUUUCAGGUGUUUUUCAUGGACUGUUGAAAUGCCGUGAACUACUGACAUAUCCCGUGCUACCUGGAAAGCAUAUGGAAAGUGAAAGAGGAAGAGAAAACAAACAUAGGAUUUUCCUGAUUAUAUUUUUUUCCAUAUCUAUUACUUAUUGCAGCCAGGUUGGUAUAUUCUGACAGGAAUUAUCUGAAGAAUGUCAGAGAUGUCACAGUUCACUGGAACAUCAGUGGUUCUUUUAUUUCUACACUGGGAACACGAUUCUAAAUUCUGCAUUAGCAAAGCUGGAGGCACCACUGAGCUCCGGGGCAGGGUUGCUCAGGACACCAGAACACCAUCUCCCCUCCUGCAAACCUCUCCUCACUAGUCACUGGUUUACACAGCAACAGGAACAUCCCUGCUCUGUGCCAGCAGCUCCUCCUCCUCUGACCAGGUAACCCUUCCGUACUGUCCUUGAAAAGAAAGCACAGGACACCUUCAGAUCAAUUUAUUAUUUAGUGGAAGUUCAGGUCCCAGCUGCUCAAGGGAACAUAUGGAAAUGUUUGCUCAGUUUGUUACAUUUUCACCCAACCCAUCGAUGAAAAAUCCCUUGUCUGUGUCAGGGCUAAUUUUCAUCCUUCCCUCAGCUGUUUGUUGGAUCAGGCCACACACAAAUAAGGAUUUUAUUGUUCCUUGUGCACCAGUGUUUUAAUUAACUCUCUACAGUAACUUCAGUGUAAUUAGUCAGCCCUCACAGACUGGUUUCAUCCUUCUCCCCAGGCACCAGAGCUUUAAAGCCAUAGAGGCUUGUCUGCCUUGCAGUGAUUCAGUAUAUUAAUUUACAAUUCUAGAGAGCAGAUUACCCUUUCCCACAGCAAUCUGGCAACUUUCUCCUUCCAUUUAUGAGAGUUGGAGGUGUAGCUGUGACCCAGAACUCUCCCAAACAGCUGAGGCACUAUUGGUGCCAGAGACAUGCUCAGCACUCCAGACAAGUGUGAAACCAGGUGUACUGAGACUUUUUUAUGGGAUGAGAUGGAAUCAGUGCAGAAUUAAGCAUCAGGAUUUAUUCAGGACAGUUCAUGGUCAUGCUCCAUUUAAAAACAAAGCACUGAAAUUUGGGUAACAGAACACUGUCCAAAUGCAGUCCAGCUGAGACUGCUGCAUAUGGAUAUAUCCUUGACUGUCAGGGAAGCACACACUCCUGGGGCUGAGGGAAACCUCCUGCUCAAGGCAAAGGGACCUCACAACACACUGGAACAGCCUCAGAGUACAGAACUACAACCCAGGCAUCCAGCACUUGAUGUACUCAAGUCAAGAACACCCAAGACAAUUCCCAAAUUAAUUCAGCAUUUCCAGUUCCCUUCCCAGAAUCCCUCCAGCUCAGAAUUUUCUAAAAAGCCUCUAGAGACAAGGCUGUCUCAGCAGAACAUUCAAGGGAGAGGUGAAGCACUAUGGCUGUGGCCACACCAGGAGCUUUUCCCUUUGCUGAAAAGGCAGGAGCAAUGGAAAUUAUUGGCUGCCAAAAAUUAAUCAGGGAAUUAAAUAGUGCUGUAUUUUCAGAAGUGUGGCUGGAACAUGUGUUGUCAACAGUAACACUUUCCAACUACAGGUUUAAAAGCCAGAAUCAAACCUUAGGCAAGUGUUUCACUAUAUAUGAAGCUGUAAUGAGGUUUUCCGAUACCUCAAAUUUCAAUGAAAGCAGGUGGAGGGGGAAAGAAAAAAUUCUUUUCAACUGGCACUUUAAAGAAAAGGGCUUAUGUUUUACUCCAAAAAGUCUUAUAAAAGAAAAGCUAACCAAAAUAAAAGACAAGUCUCAGUUACUUAGGUCACUAAUGAUAAUACAGACAUUCCAUGCAGCCUCUACAAGCUCAGUUAGAUGCCCUUCUUGUCUUUAAAAAGAAUUCUGCAGCAGCCAAAUAAUCAACAGCUCUUCACACUGUGACCUCAGGGGGUUAAAACACUGGAGCAGAUGGAAGAAAUGGUGGAUUCAAUUGAAAUAAUUUAUUUCAUACACUGAGCCACAGAUUUCCUGGGAGCAGGGCACAGAUUUCCUUCCCCCACGGACCAGCCCAUUCCUGGGGGUCCCCCACUGGCACAGGGAGUGAGGCCCUUCAGUGCAACAGCCAAACACAGAGGCCAAAGUGCCACCCACCCCUGAGGAGGAUUUGUCACCUUGCACAAACAGUUCAGGGGUCUCCUUUCAGAACAAGGCAGCUCUUGUGUCAUUUAGUGAAGAUUUCACACUUUUUCAUACCACUUCACCCAGUAUAUGCACAUAAAAAAAUAAGCACACUGUACAAAGAGCAGAAGCCAUAUAAUUUAAACAUGCAUCCAGCUACAAACCAUAUAUACAGAGAAACAGGCCUAUACAAACAGAACAGGACACCUUAGUACAUGAUAAUUCCGUUGGAGUUUCUGGAGGAAAUCGUGGCAGAUAAAGAAAAUCAGACUGAAGGAGGUGGAUGUUGCUUCUAAAAGAAAUCUGUUCCCAAAUGUCAUGCAACACCCCAUCUUUCUCUAGCAGACAUUUGUCACAGUUCCAGCUACACACACAGGUCUUCCCACGACUUCUGGCCUCCCUUCCUGUACAGAGGUAGAUUUCUGGUGAUGUUCUGAUAUUGCACCACGUAAGUACCACGUUUUUAUUACAAGGGCCAACUCGGGCUAAUUCAUGGGGAUAAUCUCAUGGUGUGCAUUCAGGUAGUGCACUAAUCAAAUUCAUCUGCACUUGAAAGAAAACAUCCCUCCAAGUGCAAUGGUUUCUUGUUUAGGUGGAGGCUGCAAUUAUUAACAGCUUCACAUUAAGAGAACUAUUUCUUGUCAUCAGGGUGACACUUGAGUGUCUCUCUCCUUUUCGGCCAAUGCCAGGACUUGCACUGCCUUCCCUGCUGCUUUAUCCCAUCCACUGGGUUCAGGUGAAAUGUGGAUUUCAAACACACACAGGUUUUUGCAGGAUUAGACCUUCCUCACACAAGCUCUUGUAAUAUUGAAUGUACAAGAAGAUUAAUUCAAACUGCAUGAAAUGAUUAAAAAAGCCCAUCCACCCUUUCAGGCUGGACAAGGAAAGGUGGAACUUUGCUAGUUUCAAACAGCCAUUAAUGGUGAACAGAUUGGAUGUUACCAGGAAAAUCUGAGGAAGUCUGGCAGGAGUUUAAUUUUCUUUUGUCCAUCACAUUCUUGAACAACCCUCUGACAACCCAGGACACUGCAGACAAGCUUGCAUGCCAAGAGCACUUUACAGUGUCUGUUAAAUGAAACCUCUACAGCAUACUUAGAAAAAUAAGUGCACCAAAAUUCAUGAUGCUGAUGUAUCUUAACUCUGAUGAGUUCACAAGCAUUGCUCAGGACUUUUUUCUCAGAGGCACCCCAGGAAGUUAUUUUUUGCAGAAGUCUGUCAACAUGGGAGACAAAUGAAAGAACAAUCUGGGCAUGUUUCACUCUCAGAGAGAAGCCAAGCAGCACCACCACUCCUGGCUGCAAGCUUUGAAGACAACUUAAAGUAAGUUCUCUUUUUUACCAACCAACCAACCUAUUUGGAGCUAUUUUAAAUGAACCAGUCAGCAUUAGCUUCCCAGGUUCAGUUUCUGUGAAGCAUCCUGUGACAUUACAUCAGGAAGGAAUGGUGGCUAGUUUGGAACUGAGCAUUUUUUUGCUGAAUUACAGAUACAAGGCAUAUAGAAAUUCAUUACAUCUCUUCAUAUACUCACUUGUCCUUUUAAAGGGCUUUUUCCUUAGCCAGACAAGUAAAUCCCAAGUUACUUCACACCAACUGCAACAAUACUGAAAUUCCUGUGGACUGUUCUCCUGUGAUGACAGGGAUUGCACACCUAGGAGUAGGAGUAAAAUCAUCUCACCCUCUUGGAGGAGCCCAUGCUGUGAAGUGAAUGGAAUGCUUCACUCCAGGGAGUAACUUCUUCAGGAAUUACACUCCCAAAGGGCUUCUGGACCUUGCGAGAUCACGUUUUUGAAUGAGGAAAUCCAUGAAACGACACACAGUAAAAGUUAAAUGACAGUGGCAGGAACCAGAGCUUUUGGAGACUUCUGUGGUUUUGCAAAGCAAUGGUUCUUCCCCAGGAACAGUCCCCAGCUGGGCAGUGCCUCACUCACCCUGGCUGGUGCUCCGUGGUUGCAUAGAGGGUCCCCGUGGUGACCCCAGAGCUCAGCACAGCUCUGCCCUGUCAUCUGUUACCACUUGAUGUCCAAACUGCUCGUGCUUUGAUUCACUGCACUGUAUGUGGUGUGCAAAGUCUCCUGGGCCUUCUUGGAGUCCAUGCCCUCCAGCCAGUCCUGGUACACCUUCUGUACGUGCAGGUUGGUUUCUGGCAGCCGGACGGGAAUGGCAGCGUACACCUCCUCCAUCUGGGCAAGCAGGGCUCUGUCUGGCUUGCCAUCCUCAGUCUGGGCCUGGCCUUUGCCAUUUAGGCACCCUUAGGGGAAAAAAAAAGGAACAAAAAAGCUGCAAGGGUGAUGAGGUUUGAUAUGAGGAGAAAUUUUAACUCAAAAUUCGUUUUUCACACUUGGCUUUACAUAAACUGCCCCCAGUGCUAUUACAAUUUGUAUUUACCUAAAGUGACUCUGAUAUCAGCAUCAUCUUAAUGGAAAUGAGGUUUCCAUAUCAACAGUCUUUCCCUGCCUUCUCCGUGGUUUUAUGAUCCUAAUUAUCUUCUCUUUCUUGCCCUUGACAACGACCAUUUCAGGGAUUUCCUCUGAGGUUUGGAAGUGCCGGCACUGACUGAUAGGUCAGCAGAGAGCCAGAAACACUGGGGCUAAUUUUGGAAAAACCAAUCAAUUCCUGAGCCAACCCACAACCUGUAACUGGUGUUCUGGACCCUUCAUUAAACAAUGAGAUUUUAGAUUAUUAAGAAGGGAAUUAGGAAGGAAUGAAGUGCUUGCCUUAGGGCAGCUUUCCUUUGAGAUUCAAGACGUGCACAGAGCGUUUGGGGAUCCACAAUUAUUCUUACCUCCUGGGCAGGCAAGGACUUCUACAAAAUGGUACAAAAACUUUCCUUUUUUCAACUUCAGGACCAUGUUUUGGAUAUUUCUAAAGCCAUAAGCUGCUGCAAAGCGCAGCACUGUCUCCCCAUCCUUUUCAAGGGUAACUUCUUGGAAGUCCUUGUUCCUGUCAAAACACACAGAGAACAUUUUAACCCCCUGUGUUCCCAGAGGAACAAUCCAACUGUGUCAGUUUGUAUUCAGAUGUUCUAAAGAGAACAGAACAAGUGUAACAGUAAGAUCAAGGUGAACUCUUCCAGUUUCUAAACUGUGUUAAGCAGAAAUUGGGGUGUAACUCAGAAUAGAACUAUAGUUAAUUUUUAAAGUGUGGUUAAGCUAUCAAUUAAAUGAAUGCUGUGACAGACUUACAGGUUUAUAACAUAUCAGCUGCAUUCACUGCAGCACCAACUAAACCAGGGGAGGUUCAGACUGGACUUCAGCAACCCUUUCCUAACCAAAAGGGUGGUCAGACCCUGGAACAGAAUCCCCCAGAGAGGUGGUUAAUUUUGGUCAGCCCACAUUCCUCAGACAGUUGCACUGGAUGAUCAUUGUAGGUCCCUUGCAAGUGAAAAUAUUCUAUUCUAACUAGCCAGUCCUACAUAACAAGGAUACAAAACUCUUGACUUACUUUAAUGCUUUGUAGGUGAUUUCCUUGACAUCCAUGCCAAAAAGCUCCUUUGCAGCAUGUUUAAAAAUGUGCUCCAGGUAACCAUCAGACCUCUUCCCAUCGUGCCUUACUACAUCUCCCUCCUUUAUGUCAGCAAACCUUAGAAAACAACAGAAAGGAAGAUCAACUCUGAAAUUCCAUUCCUUCCCUUCAGUCAAGCAGUAUGUUUUUCCCUUUCUCUAUCUCCCCCACCAAAAAGUGUUUUGUAGCACUAAGUAAGAACACAUUAACAUUUUUAUUACAGCUUAAAAAAUGUAAACUGGUCAGGACAGCAGCAAGAUUGUGAAAAAAAUAAAAUAAAAUAUAUAUAAAAUAAAGGCUGUAGGGCUUUCCAUGUUCAAGCAACAGUAAUUCGUAAGAAUGCACAUUCAGCACAGCCUAAAUAUUUGGUUAACAGCCAUUCACUGCUCAGGAGACAUUUUUUGGAAAAUAUUUAAAUAAAAUUAUUUAAAUAGUAGGUUUUUGCCUGUGAGAAUAUAAAGUUACAAGUCUUUGCUGACAGACAAUUCUCCUGCUCCAGGAGCUGUUUGUCACAGUCUAUAACAGUGUGUCAACAGAACACUGAACUGGUACAGCUGCAACCAAGUUAGAAUAGUGUACCUUGAAACAAGUGCUGUGCUCUAGCUCAGGGAAGGCAGUGAGAGCUCCUGUCCAAGGCCAUGGCCUUCUCCUGGAGCUUCACCUCUGCCCCAGUUGGGAGCAGCUCUGCUGAGCCCACGUGGCUGCAGGAGGGGCUGUGCUGGGACACGUGCUGGGGAUCCCAAAGCUGCAGCUCUGGGGGCUCCUGUUCCCUCCUGGCAGAGGAGGAAUCCAUGUGGGGGUGGGAAUGCCACUUCCAGGAGGAGACACUGGGCUGAUCAGCAGACAGACAGAUGAUGUGCUUUGCUCUUCCAUGUAACAGCCCCUCUGGGUGCAGUCUCGUUCCCUUCUCCCAGAACACCCAGAGUGCCCCUCCCUGGCACUGGCAGCUCCUGCCUGAGCUGAUCCCAGCACAGAGCUCGGCCACAGAGCCCAGGCUGAUACAGAAUUAAGUGACUGUCUCUAUGUGAUUAUGCCUGCAAGAGCUUUAUUCGUGGAAUUCUCAUUGUGUGACAGUUCCUGGUAGAAGCAAUCACAGGAGCUGCACCAGAAACACAGCUCUGAACAUGUUCCCACUGCACCACUCCAAUUCCUCCACUCUAGACAAGAUCCAAGCAGGAUAUUAACUGGAACUGAAAAGGAUUUUUCCAAACUUACAGAGUUUUCUAUUUUCUGCAAGAAAGCAUGUUUACUGCUCCACUACCACCCCUCUGGAAAGAUACCAAGGAACAUCUGUCACACUUGAGCAAAGAUCAGGGAGAGCAGCCUCUGUAACUAAGCCUGAGAAUUAACCACCAGGCACAGUGCUCCCUGAGCCAGGCAUAUGGGGUGUAAACAAAACCUCUUCAGUGCUUUGUGUGCUUCUCAUCCACAGCACAGUUCAGUCUGAGCUAAUCUUGAAAAACUAACUGCUGUCCUCAGUAUAAAAACCAGUUAAUUACCCUUUCCUGAAAGGGUGCUGCUUCUAGCAGUUCUCCGUGAACAUAUUGGGGAAGUGGAAAUUUCCUGUGAAGGAGAGGGGAGCACAGAGCAGAUGGUCAAGCCCACGACUGUGUCCCUGCAGCUUUGUGUGAGGCACAUCAGCCUGCUGGGCUUCACUCAAGAUCAAGCACAGGAGAGCUCUGAACGGGGUCAACACCCCCAGACAGUCACAUUUACCAGCAAGGCAUGAGCUCAGCACAGUCAAAUCUAAUAUUACUGCGUUAAAAUAAAAAUAAGGAGCUACACAAAUCUUCUAAAGUCAUAAAUUUUAAAGGAGUUAUUAUGUAGCAUAUAAUCUGAGGUAAUGACCCUUUUGUGUUUAGACAGCAUAUACAGUUUUAUAUUAUCUGUUUCAUAUUACUUUUAUAUAUAGCAAUGAACAUCUAAGACAACACUUCUGUGGUUUUGGCCACCACAUAAAGGAUGAAGCUGUGGGAUAUUCAGGCUUUGAUGCAGGUUUUUUUCUUUAAAAAGAAAAAACAUUCUCCUGAGCAGUUUUACAUUGAUGCUGAGUAUGCUUCAAGGUGUCAUUUAUGAUCAAAAUAAGGAAACAAUCCACAACAAAGCUACUUACAAACUAUCUACAGCUACUUCAGGCACAUCUUUCAUAGACACAUUUUUCUGUUCCAUUAUUUGGACAAUUUCACCUGUAGGAAAACAUGAGACAUUUUACUUUCAACACAAAGCACAACCCCCACGCUGUGCCUGUUUUAGAGAUCAAUGUCCCAACACCUGCUCAGUCACAUUGUCCAGCUCUUCCCAGAGUCAGUUCCCUCCAAUAACUUGAGAAGCCUGACACUUCCAGCCCCAAAGAAAAGGGCCUUCAAGCUUGCCCAAGCUUUGCUUAAAUCCUUAGCCUUCAUGGUAGGGCAAAUUUGGAAGAUGUCUCUACACUGCAGGAUGUGUAGUUUGGACAUUAAGGCUAAAGACAUGAAUUUGGAGUGUUAAAAAUAAUCCCAGUGGAGAUUAAAUAAUGACCACAGACAAGACAGAUAAUCAUUUUAAAUAUAGAUUUGCAUAACUUUUACCUUCCUCGAGAGGCUGACAGAAAGAAACACCUGAUAUGUCAGAUGAAUAGCAACUUAGAAGGAAAGUAUCCCCUUCACAGUCCCACAAAAACAGACGUACUUAUUUUUAAGCAGAGAAAAGCCAACCUUAGGACUAAAGCAGACUUGAAAAAAGCCAAGUCUGACAUGAAGGCUGUGCUAAAACUGGUGAUUCACUUAUAUAUUUAUAGAUGGUAAGUUUAAAGAUUUCACCUGAUGUCAGGACACAAUCAACUUCUGAUGAAUUAUACAAGGCAGUGUAGAAAUCUUCCCGCAAGGCUUCCAGCUUUUUGUCAUAACAAGGCGCCACAACUACAUGGAAAAUUUUAUCAGGAGACAAGUUCUGUGGAACACAGAAGGGAGCACAAGUGAACUCCUUGAAGAGCAAAAGACAGCUUGAAGGAUGACAAGGACAGAAGUAGUGUCAUAAACCCCGUGCAGGCAAUACCAGGAAUCAGCCCCCACCCAUUACAUUUAGAGGCUGCCACACACAGAUAAUGAUUUGCCAGAAGUCACAAAGCAUCAGCAACAGACUUCCAAAGUCUGUCUUCUGGCUGGAACUCCUACUUAUACCUUCACACCACGUUUUCUGUAGCUUUUGAUUGCCUUAGAAAAUGAAUACAGUUCAGGAGUUCUGGUUUCCAGCUGUCACUCAUUUAUGUCUCUCUAUUUCUGUAUCCAUGUGCAGACAGCAACAAUUUCCUACAGACUGUGGCUGCAGUUCCAUGUAAGUGUGAUAUGUAAAGAACAGCAGCUUUUUCAACCUACAAACUUGAGAGGAUACAAAGAUUUGUUUCCAGGAUACAGUGCUUUUAUUGAUCCCAGAUAACAGGGCAAUUUCCACAUGUCUCUCCUCCGCUCCUAUUUUGGCUGUGCUGUAGAACAGCACAAGAAACCCUUUAGCUGCCAUGGGUUUAAUUUUAUCCUUAAAUAUCUAAAGCCAUGUUGCCCUGAGAGUGCAAGGAUUGCACUGCAUGAACUGAGGUUCUUUGCACAUUCUUCCCAUCGUGGCACUUGUGUAGCAGCAGAGCACUAUUUAUUUUACAAGGACAAAUAAUAACUAACAUCUGUAUUUCAGUAUUAAAACCCACUAGCCCAACUUUUCUAUUUAGAAGAGUAUAAUGGUAAAAAUAAAUGGGAGUUAUUUACCUGCUGCCUGGCAAAGUAGCCCUUCACUAGGGAGCCCAUGAUCUGCUGGGGAGACUUUGCAGUGCAAAUGUGAGAGGUCACCAGGUUGGUGAGCACCCUUUCAGCAUAUCGGAUCCAACCUGGAGAGACAGGAAAAAUCACAGUCAGAGGGAGAAGUGGCCCAGAAGCACAACUCAGAGAACAGCUCCUAAAAAUUCUGACCCCUUCACAGUAGGUAGGACAUUUCUGUGCAGGGUGAGGGGAAAUGGAGGAAAAUUCAAGGCUCUGUUAAUAAUGCUUUAAUCGAUAAUUCACUGUGUCAUUAACUCUAGACCUAAAGCCACUGUGAACUUCGUGCCCUGUUACACCCUUCCUAGUGCACAGAUUUAACAAAGCAGAAAGAACAGGACCCCAACUAACAAAGAGUAACUUGACCUUCUAGACCUCAGCCCUCGGAUCACCUCAUACUACAACAAAUGCACUGUUUGGCUGCUUAACUGGAACCUGCUGUUUCCUGAGAUUCAGUAUCCAUGCCCCCAGCUCGCCCCCCUGGAACAGAAGAGUCACAUGAAAGCAUUAUCACAAGGUGCACAUGGAUUAAGCCUGGAAAAAAAUGGCUUCUUUUACUAUUGCUGGAGUAGCCACACCUUCAGGAACACCCACACACUCAACCACACACACAGGAAUGAACUGAAAUCUUUGUGUGCAACAUUCUGUCCUUAGUUACUCAAGAACCCCCCUCCCUCUCACCAGACUCCUUCACUCAGCAUGCCAGCUCAGGCAAGCUGUGGAUAUUCACACCAUUCCCAAUAUCCAGAGCUGUUGUAUUAUUCCCCACCUUCCAAAACAGAACUGGCAAAUCGAGGUAUUUAGGGUGUGCAAUUCUUUCUUAGGCACUUUCUUAGGCUCUUACUGGAAAUCACAGCCCAGAAUCUUUCACAGCAAAGGUUUGGUGCUUUUUUCAUCUACAUGACACCUAAACUGUGCAGGAGGUUUAGGCCCAGCCUUCCAGGGAAGUGUGUUGCUUUUGGUGCUAAGGAAUAAUGAGAAAUAUCACACUUAAAUAUUUUAUCUUCAAGCAAAUUAGUGUUUACAUAAGAGAAAAACUGCUGUGCACAGUACAUGCUGCCCAGGAAGGGUAAAAUCUGUACCUUAAUUUUUAAUCUUGGAAUUACCACUUAUGUAAAAAAACACUUGGUAAUGUUUAAGUCAGAACAGCAGCACAAAAGUGGGAUCCAAGCGGUGUUCAGCUGUUUGCCUCUCUAUGGCAGAGUAGUUUUCCCAGUGUUAUAAAAUUUUACUGAUGAAAAUGAGAAUGUGAAAGUAUUAGAAAAACCCGAGGAUCCUCCAGCUGUUUAAAUAUUCCCAAUUCUUGCUGAAGAACAGAUAGUGGUCUCCAUGGAAAAUCUCAAAGACACACACCAUCUUCAACAACCAUUCAUUUCUGCUGUAGGAAAAGCUGAGGACCAGAUUUACAUGUCAGGACUGUGCUGAAUUGCCAGACUCUGAACAGAAGGUUUGCCUCACGUCCACCUUCAACUGUACCUGCAACAAAGGACUUAAUUCCUUGGUGUUUGGUAAAAGGCUGUAUUACAUUCUGCAGCAUGGGUACAUCCUACUGCUCAAAUGGCCUUAGUCUCAAGUGCUGUCCAAAGAGAACAACUGCUUCAAACCAAAGAAGGACAGUUUAAAAACCACUCUGCCUUGUACUUGCCAUUACUCACCCCAGCACUCCUGCUAUGAAUUCUUAAAACUGGAAUGUUUCAGCUAUUGUAGUCAUGAGCUGUAAGGACAUUUCACUGAAUCCCAAGAGAUUUCUGACAGGUAUUGCCCAAAGUAAUUUCUGAAGUUGUUUCUGUCCUUGCAGCAGAUGGAACAAGUGUCUCAGAGUUGCAGCUCCUG